GGGGGUAUAGCUCAGCUGGGAGAGCAACAGACUGAAGUACGUAGCUAUUUUCGUAGUGGCGCUUCUGGAGGUCCCCAGUUCAAUCCUGGGUGUCCCCA
This is a non-coding RNA of Armillaria mellea, 98 nucleotides long. The record is from the annotation of a GenBank genome assembly. NCBI's taxonomy places the organism in Eukaryota, Fungi, Basidiomycota, Agaricomycetes, Agaricales, Physalacriaceae.